GCCGGACGCGGUGGCGCGCGCCUGUAGUCCCAGCUACUCGGGAGGCUGAGAUGGGAGGAUCGCUUGAGCCCAGGAGUUCUGGGCUGUAGUGCGCUAUGCCGAUCGGGUGUCCGCACUAAGUUCGGCAUCAAUAUGGUGACCUCCCGGGAGCGGGGGACCACCAGGUUGCCUAAGGAGGGGUGAACCGGCCCAGGUCGGAAACGGAGCAGGUCAAAACUCCCGUGCUGAUCAGUAGUGGGAUCGCGCCUGUGAAUAGUCACUGCACUCCAGCCUGGGCAACAAAAUGAGACUCUGUCUCA
This 299-nucleotide signal recognition particle RNA is filed under the name Microcebus murinus (gray mouse lemur). Its description in RNAcentral is "Metazoan signal recognition particle RNA (ENSMICG00000041522.1)". It matches the Rfam family "Metazoan signal recognition particle RNA". From Rfam's summary of the family: The signal recognition particle (SRP) is a universally conserved ribonucleoprotein. It is involved in the co-translational targeting of proteins to membranes. The eukaryotic SRP consists of a 300-nucleotide 7S RNA and six proteins: SRPs 72, 68, 54, 19, 14, and 9. Lineage: Eukaryota; Metazoa; Chordata; Mammalia; Primates; Cheirogaleidae. The record is from RNAcentral.